UGUUUUUGGCUUUACAUUAUGUCUCUCUCCAUUAAAAUUAAGCUACCCUAAAAGUUGGACACUGUUCAUUAUUUUUUGUUAGUAGGCAAACUUAAAAAUUCAGCUGAGAAUCAAAGAAUUAUUUUCCCGAUCUAAAGUCUUGAUCAGGGUCACGUUGAUUGAGGGCAGCAAACUAAGUGCUGCUGUCUGCUGUCUAAUUGCAAUAAUGAAAUCUUUGCUCUCUGUGCAGGGUGUACCUGGAAGCCCGGGUUCUCGAGGUUCACCCGGGGAAAGAGGUCGAUCUCUACCUGGACAGAAAGGAGACGAGGGGGAUCAGGGUUUGCAGGGACGUCCAGGGCCGUUUGAGUAUGUUGACCCUCCCGAAGACCUCUACAUCAAAGGAGACAAAGUAGGUGGAGCCUCACUCUGUUACAGCCUAUCAGAUGACACAUUUAAGGGGACUUCCUGUUUCUGUUAAACUUUAUAGCUAAUUAGCCAGCUCGAUGCAUAGUGACAUUCAGAGUUGCUAACAGCACAAAGCUUUCUGCAUGAAGCCUGUGUAGACCUCAAACCUCAGGAAGUAGGAGCCUUUAUUUUUAAAAACUGGUUCUAUGUAGGUUUAUUGUAAAAUUCGAGUAGCUAGUGUUUUUAAUGCCUGGUACAAAUGUUGGUUUCUAAUAUCUCUUGGAGUCCAAUGUUGGGAGGUUUGCUGUCGGUUUCUUAUGCUGGUUUCCAUUUAGGGGCUCUAAUGUUGCAUUCUGCUUGGAUAUUCCAGGGCUCCCGGGGAGUUAAAGGAGUCUGUGGAAUUGACGGACUGCGGUAGGUUAAAUAUCUUAUUUAGGAACUUGAAGUUCUCCUUGUUGUUGGAUUCUUGGGCACCAGGC
Molecule: long non-coding RNA, 863 nt
Filed under: Oreochromis niloticus (Nile tilapia)
Lineage: Eukaryota; Metazoa; Chordata; Actinopteri; Cichliformes; Cichlidae
Description: lncRNA (ENSONIG00000035243.1)
Source: RNAcentral